AUGUCUGGGAAACUGCCUGAUGAGGGGGAUAACUACUGGAAACGGUAGCUAAUACCGCAUAACGUCGCAAGACCAAAGAGGGGGACCUUCGGGCCUCUUGCCAUCGGAUGUGCCCAGAUGGGAUUAGCUUGUUGGUGGGGUAACGGCUCACCAAGGCGACGAUCCCUAGCUGGUCUGAGAGGAUGACCAGCCACACUGGAACUGAGACACGGUCCAGACUCCUACGGGAGGCAGCAUG
This 238-nucleotide ribosomal RNA is filed under the name uncultured bacterium. RNAcentral describes it as "partial 16S ribosomal RNA". It matches the Rfam family "Bacterial small subunit ribosomal RNA", at positions 113 to 353 of the family's 1533-position model. The record is from RNAcentral.